UAAUACGGAGGGUGCAAGCGUUAAUCGGAAUUACUGGGCAUAAAGCGCACGCAGGCGGUUUGUUAAGUCAGAUGUGAAAUCCCCGAGCUUAACUUGGGAACUGCAUUUGAAACUGGCAAGCUAGAGUCUUGUAGAGGGGGGUAGAAUUCCAGGUGUAGCGGUGAAAUGCGUAGAGAUCUGGAGGAAUACCGGUGGCGAAGGCGGCCCCCUGGACAAAGACUGACGCUCAGGUGCGAAAGCGUGGGGAGCAAACAGGAUUAGAUACCCUGGUAGUCCACGCUGUAAACGAUGUCGACUUGGAGGUUGUGCCCUUGAGGCGUGGCUUCCGGAGCUAACGCGUUAAGUCGACCGCCUGGGGAGUACGGCCGCAAGGUUAAA
Molecule: ribosomal RNA, 378 nt
Filed under: uncultured bacterium
Lineage: Bacteria
Description: bacterial SSU rRNA
Rfam family: Bacterial small subunit ribosomal RNA
Source: RNAcentral